Molecule: ribosomal RNA, 468 nt
Filed under: uncultured bacterium
Lineage: Bacteria
Description: partial 16S ribosomal RNA
Rfam family: Bacterial small subunit ribosomal RNA
Source: RNAcentral
GACGUACGCUGGCGGCGUGCUUAACACAUGCAAGUCGAACGGAAAGGCCCUGCUUUUGUGGGGUGCUCGAGUGGCGAACGGGUGAGUAACACGUGAGUAACCUGCCCUUGACUUUGGGAUAACUUCAGGAAACUGGGGCUAAUACCGGAUAGGAGCUCCUGCUGCAUGGGGGGGGUUGGAAAGUUUCGGCGGUUGGGGAUGGACUCGCGGCUUAUCAGCUUGUGGGUGGGGUAGUGGCUUACCAAGGCUUUGACGGGUAGCCGGCCUGAGAGGGUGACCGGCCACAUUGGGACUGAGGUACGGCCCAGACUCCUACGGGAGGCAGAAGUGGGGAAUAUUGCACAAUGGGCGGAAGCCUGAUGCAGCAACGCCGCGUGCGGGAUGAAGGCCUUCGGGUUGUAAACCGCUUUAGCCUGUGACGAAGCGUGAGCGACGGUAAUGGGUAAAGAAGCACCGGCUAACUACGUG